GACGAACGCUGGCGGCGUGCCUAAUACAUGCAAGUCGAACGCAGGGGGGACGGGUGAGUAAAACGUGGGUAACCUCCCAUCAGAGGGGAUAACACUUGGAAACAGGUGCUAAACCGAUACUGAUGGCUGGACCCGCGGUGCAUUAGCUAGUUGGGGGGGUAACGGCUCACCAAGGCCACGAUGCAUAGCGGUCCUGAGAGGUGGCUAGCCCAAACGGGGAUUGAGACAGGUCCAAGAUCCCAACGGGAGGAGGCAGGGGGAAAUUUGCGGCAAGGGCCGAAAGUUUGUCCGAGCAAGGCCGGGUGAGUGAAGAAGGUUUGCGGUUGGAAAACUCUGUCGGUAGGGAAGCGGUAUCUAACCAGGAAGCCACGGCUAACUACGUGCCAGCAGCCGCGGUAAUAC
Molecule: ribosomal RNA, 402 nt
Filed under: uncultured bacterium
Lineage: Bacteria
Description: partial 16S ribosomal RNA
Rfam family: Bacterial small subunit ribosomal RNA
Source: RNAcentral